This 253-nucleotide ribosomal RNA is filed under the name uncultured bacterium. RNAcentral describes it as "partial 16S ribosomal RNA". It matches the Rfam family "Bacterial small subunit ribosomal RNA", at positions 524 to 776 of the family's 1533-position model. The record is from RNAcentral.
UACGUAGGGUGCGAGCGUUAAUCGGAAUUACUGGGCGUAAAGCGUGCGCAGGCGGUGUUGUAAGACCGAUGUGAAAUCCCCGGGCUUAACCUGGGAACUGCAUUGGUGACUGCAUUGCUGGAGUAUGGCAGAGGGGGGUGGAAUUCCACGUGUAGCAGUGAAAUGCGUAGAGAUGUGGAGGAACACCGAUGGCGAAGGCAGCCCCCUGGGCCAAUACUGACGCUCAUGCACGAAAGCGUGGGGAGCAAACAGG